CGAAAACUGCACAAACUGUGCGUGAACAAGAGAUCAUCAAGCGUCUGAAGUCGCAAAGUCGACGUACGCUGACCCAAACAAACCAAGAUUUUGAUCUGGAGAAUCCCGUCAAUGACCCUCUCCUUGAUGCACUUUCUCUUCUGGAGUUCCAUGGGCGCGAAAUUCGUGAAGGCGUGGCCAAUGCCAGUGCGAGUUUGUCGGCGUUGUUCCCCUACUUCUUCCCGAAGAAAGAGGAACCUUCGACUUUCCUUGCCCUUGCCAAGCUUUUCAAUUCGUCGGAAGACCUGGGAUUGAAGAUGCGUCAGGAGAAUAUGAAGGUUGCUUGUCGAGAGUACUGUUGCCCUGGUUGCUGACAGCCAACAGACGCUUGAUUGGAUGAAGGUUGGCGACACCAGCCAGGUAGAGCAUUCGAGAUGGAGGUCGCUGAUCAAGGCAGCCAAGCCCAACACGAAGAAGAUCUUGGCGUAUCUGGGGAUCAAGCCAGCUUCGACUCCUAGCUCCUCGAGGCCGGAGGUCUAGUUGCAUGCCUCCUUGUUUCUUUUUCUGUUUCUUUUGCUUUUGUUGCCAAAGUAGUUGUUUUGGCGACAUUCAUUUCCUUAGCUCCACUGUAGUGCCCUUGUAAUUAUUCCAAGAAAUUAAUGAAAAACUCUAUCUGUCAUUUGAUGUUGUCUUGUCUAAAUUUCAGUUGAUAUUUGAUAACUAUACUCCAACUUCCGCUCCUUCCAAUGUAUCGCCUUCUUCUCGUGCGAGGAGAGCUUUUGCUGAUACUGCACCUGUCGACGAUACCUUGUCGCAAGAACUGGAUGAACUUCGGCAGCAACUUCAGUAUGCGAAGAAGCAAACACUUGUGAUGAUGGAGCAAUCUCGUAAGUCAUCUGAAGCCGAAAAAAUUGCUCUUCAACAAUCUCACGAAGCCGUGGCUGCUAAGGAAAUUGCCGCUUCCGAGGCUGAAAAGGCAACUACUCGAGAAAAUUUCAUGCUCGAAUUAAUGAAUGAAGCCAGUGCAGAUAUGUCGGGUGCCUUUACUGAUGCUGCUGCCGAGGAGGAGAGGGUAAAUGCUAGGACAACCCUCCUUGUUAAUCUUUCCCUGGACCAUGGUUCUUUGUUUUGGGCUACCCCAGAGAGGACCCGCC
Lolium perenne is the source of this 1133-nucleotide non-coding RNA. The record is from RefSeq and is a predicted model, not a curated record. Lineage: Eukaryota; Viridiplantae; Streptophyta; Magnoliopsida; Poales; Poaceae.